This 99-nucleotide transfer RNA is filed under the name Trichoplax adhaerens. It matches the Rfam family "tRNA". Rfam says of the family: Transfer RNA (tRNA) molecules are approximately 80 nucleotides in length. Their secondary structure includes four short double-helical elements and three loops (D, anti-codon, and T loops). Lineage: Eukaryota; Metazoa; Placozoa; Uniplacotomia; Trichoplacea; Trichoplacidae. The record is from Rfam by way of RNAcentral. RNAcentral also lists the same sequence under 1 other name.
GGCCGCGUGGCCCAACGGAUAAGGCGUCCGACUUCGAAAUCUUUCUGUAUGGAAGAUGAAGUUAUCGGAAGAUUGUGGGUUCGAGUCCCAUCGUGGUCG